AAAUCAUGUAAAGUAUUGUGGCAGUAU
Molecule: small RNA, 27 nt
Filed under: Bombyx mori (domestic silkworm)
Lineage: Eukaryota; Metazoa; Arthropoda; Insecta; Lepidoptera; Bombycidae
Description: ovarian small RNA-10126
Source: RNAcentral